AGCAGUCGCCGCGGGAAUACGUAGGGUGCAAGCGUUAAUCGGAAUUACUGGGCGUAAAGCGUGCGCAGGCGGUUCUAUAAGACAGAUGUGAAAUCCACGGGCUCAACCUGGGAACUGCAUUUGUGACUGUAGAGCUGGAGUGCGGCAGAGGGGGAUGGAAUUCCGCGUGUAGCAGUGAAAUGCGUAGAUAUGCGGAGGAACACCGAUGGCGAAGGCAAUCCCCUGGGCCUGCACUGACGCUCAUGCACGAAAGCGUGGGGAGCAAACAGGACUAGAUACCCGCGUAGUCCCUGUCUCUUAUAC
Molecule: ribosomal RNA, 303 nt
Filed under: uncultured bacterium
Lineage: Bacteria
Description: partial 16S ribosomal RNA
Rfam family: Bacterial small subunit ribosomal RNA
Source: RNAcentral